GUCUACGGCCAUGCUCCCCUGAACAAGCCUAAUCCCAUCUGAUCUUGUCUGAUCUUGGAAGCUAAGCAGGGUCGGGCCUGGUUAGUACUUGGAUGGGAGAUCACCUAGGAAGACCAGGUGCUGUAGGCG
RNAcentral lists this ribosomal RNA (129 nucleotides) under Pteropus alecto (black flying fox). Lineage: Eukaryota; Metazoa; Chordata; Mammalia; Chiroptera; Pteropodidae. The record is from RNAcentral.